AUUGAACGCUGGCGGCAGGCUUAACACAUGCAAGUCGAGCGGAAACGAUGGGAGCUUGCUCCCAGGCGUCGAGCGGCGGACGGGUGAGUAACGCGUAGGAAUCUACCCAGUAGAGGGGGAUAGCCCGAGGGAACUCGGAUUAAUACCGCAUACGCCCUAACGGGGGAAAGGCCGGGAUCUUCGGACCGGUCACUAUUGGAUGAGCCUGCGUGAGAUUAGCUUGUUGGUGGGGUAAUGGCCCACCAAGGCGACGAUCUCUAGCUGGUCUGAGAGGAUGAUCAGCCACACUGGGACUGAGACACGGCCCAGACUCCUACGGGAGGCAGCAGUGGGGAAUAUUGGACAAUGGGCGCAAGCCUGAUCCAGCCAUGCCGCGUGUGUGAAGAAGGCCUUAGGGUUGUAAAGCACUUUCAGUAGGGAGGAAGGCCCUGUAGUUAAUAGCUGCGGGGAUUGACGUUACCUACAGAAGCAGCACCGGCUAACUCCGUG
RNAcentral lists this ribosomal RNA (489 nucleotides) under uncultured bacterium. Its description in RNAcentral is "bacterial SSU rRNA". It matches the Rfam family "Bacterial small subunit ribosomal RNA", at positions 30 to 507 of the family's 1533-position model. The record is from RNAcentral.